RNAcentral lists this ribosomal RNA (533 nucleotides) under uncultured bacterium. RNAcentral's name for it is "bacterial SSU rRNA". It matches the Rfam family "Archaeal small subunit ribosomal RNA", at positions 728 to 1260 of the family's 1478-position model. The record is from RNAcentral.
AAUAGAUACCCUGGUAGUCCCAGCCGUAAACGAUGUGCGUUAGGUGUAUCAGUGACCACGAGUCACUGAGGUGCCGAAGGGAAACCGUGAAACGUACCGCCUGGGAAGUACGGUCGCAAGGCUGAAACUUAAAGGAAUUGGCGGGGGAGCACCACAACAGGUGGAGCCUGCGGUUUAAUUGGACUCAACGCCGGGAAGCUCACCGGAUAAGACAGCGGAAUGAUUGCCGGGCUGAAGACUCUGCAUGACUAGCUGAGAGGAGGUGCAUGGCCGUCGUCAGUUCGUACUGUGAAGCAUCCUGUUAAGUCAGGCAACGAGCGAGACCCACGCCAACAGUUGCCAGCAUGGUCUCCGGACCGAUGGGGACACUGUUGGGACCGCCUCUGCUAAAGGGGAGAAGGAAUGGGCAACGGUAGGUCAGCAUGCCCCGAAUUAUCCGGGGCUACACGCGGGCUACAAUGGGCAGGACAAUGGGUAUCGACGCCGAAAGGCGAAGGCAAUCUCCUAAACCUGUCCGUAGUUCGGAUUGUGGG